This 450-nucleotide ribosomal RNA is filed under the name uncultured bacterium. Its description in RNAcentral is "partial 16S ribosomal RNA". It matches the Rfam family "Bacterial small subunit ribosomal RNA", at positions 354 to 796 of the family's 1533-position model. The record is from RNAcentral.
GUGGGGAAUAUUCCGCAAUGGACGAAAGUCUGACGGAGCAACGCCGCGUGAGUGAUGAAGGUUUUCGGACUGUAAAGCUCUGUUGUUUAGGACGAAAGUGCCUGUUGCAAAUAGUUACAGGUAUUGACGGUACUGAACGAGGAAGCCACGGCUAACUACGUGCCAGCAGCCGCGGUAAUACGUAGGUGGCAAGCGUUGUCCGGAAUUAUUGGGCGUAAAGAGCAUGUAGGAGGGAAUCUAAGUCUGUUGUGAAAAUGCGGGGCUCAACCCCGUAUUGCGAUGGAAACUGGGUUUCUUGAGUGCAGGAGAGGAAAGGGGAAUUCCCAGUGUAGCGGUGAAAUGCGUAGAUAUUGGGAGGAACACCAGUGGCGAAGGCGCCUUUCUGGACUGUGUCUGACGCUGAGAUGCGAAAGCCAGGGUAGCGAACGGGAUUAGAUACCCCGGUAGUCC